CACCACCUUUGAUAUCGAGUUGGCCCAGCAACAGCACCAGUCCGGCCUGCAGGAGCCCCAGUCCAGGACGACCCAUCCACUCCCCUGACCCAUAACUCAUCAUACUUGAUAUUUGAAAAAAUGGGGCCUUAUGCAUGUGCUUAAAUUGUUAUCACAGAUAAGCCUAUGCAGUUUGCACAGGCUAAUAAUGGACAACAUUUUUCUCUUUAAGCAGAGCACCAGCAUUGAUAUCGAGUUGGCCCAGCAACCGCACCAGUCCCGUCUGCAGAAGCCCCAGUCCAGAACGACCCUUCCCCUCCCUUGACUUCUAACUCCUCCCCCUUGACCGCCUGCCUAAAAAAGUCAGCAUCAUUGAACAACUCCGUUGUGCAGGAAAUUCUUAGCAUGAUUCUGUUCUGAACAAACGCAAUGCCAACGUCAAGUUGUCCACACAUAAGCCUGGGUAGUUUUGUUAAGCUAGAGUUCCCCGUGGGCCUGAGAGGGACGAGUGUUACAGACACGAAAAGUUAUAGCAGUAGUUAUGGUAACGCUAACAGUCAGUUGUUGCUGUUGGACAUCACAACAAAUAUCAUGAAGAAUAAAAAUUUCAAUAAGUUGUUCCAAUCUUUAUGGGACAAACAGAAAUUGAACGGAAGAAAAUCAAGGAACAAUAAAAGCGUACGCUUUCCUAGUGGGAUCCAUCUGCUGUUGAUAGUUUGAACAAUAGUAGGGUUACGGACUGCCCCAGAUUGUCCUCUCAGCGGCCUGAAUAUCAUAAUAGAACGGACUUUUGGCAAUAUUUCUGACAAAGAAAGGCAACUUGGUUGUGAAUACCCAGAGCACGAUACAUCCGUGCUGACAAAGAAAGGCGGUAAUGACUUGGUUGUGAACACCCAGAGCGCGAUACAUCAAUGCUGACACAGUAAGGCAGUAAUGACUUGGUUGUGAACACCCAGAGCACAAUAUAUCCAUGCUGACACAGAAAGGCAGUCAUGACUUGGUUGUGAACACCCAGAGCACAAUACAUACAUGCUGACACAGAAAGGAAGGAAUGACUUGGCUGUGAACACAGAACACGAUACACCCAUGCUGGCGCAGAAAGGCAGUAAUGACUUGACUGUGAAAACAGAGCACAAUACAUCCAUGCUGAAACAGAAUGGCAGUCAUGACUAUGCUGUGAACACCCAGAGCACGAUAUAUCCAUGCUGACACAGAAAGGCAGGAAUGACUAUGCUGUGAACACCCAGAGCAAGAUAUAUCCAUGCUGACACAGAAAGGCAGUAAUGACUAUGCUGUGAAAACCCACAGAAAGAUAUAUCCAUGCUUACACAGAAAGGCAGUAAUGACUUGGUUUUGAACAACCAGAGCAAGUUAUAUCCAUGCUGACACAGAAAGGCAGUUAUGACUUGGCUGUGAACACAGAACACAAUACACCCAUGCUGUGAACACAGAGCACAAUACAUCCAUGCUGACACAUAAAGGCAGUAAUGACUUGACUGUGAGCACAGAACACCAUACAUCCAUGCUGAUACAGAAAGGCAGUAAUGACUUGGCUGUGAACACAGAGCACAAUACAUCCAUGCUGACACAGAAACGCAGUUAUGACUUAGUUGUGAACACAGAGCACAAUACAUCCUUGUUGACACAGAAAGGCAGUAAUGACUUGGCUGUGAACACAGAGCACAAUACAUCCAUGCUGACACAGAAAGGCAGUUAUUACUUGGUUGUGAACACAGAGCACAAUACAUCCUUGUUGACACGGAAAGGCAGUUAUGACUUUGCCGUGAACUGAGAGCACGAAACAUUCAUGCUGACACAGAAAGGCAGUAAUGACUUGGAUGUAAACACCCAGAGCACAAUACAUCCAUGCUGGCACAGAAAGGCAGUAAUGACUAUGCUGUGAACACCCAGAGCACAAUACAUCCAUGCUGAAACAGAAAGGCAGUAAUGACUUGGUUGUGAACACAGAGCACAAUACAUCCUUGUUUACACAGAAAGGCAGUAAAGACUUUGUUAUAAACACUAAGAUAUCCAUACAUCCAUGGGGUGUGCCACAGACGCAAAUUACGCCCACCAUUUUGAACAAGGUGCUUAAAGUGAACACGUCUGGUUUUGCUAUGAGCACUUAGCACUCCGAGUUCAAAAGGCCUCACAUUGAAUUGAUGCAAGAGAAGGCUUUGAAAAAUAACAGCAGUUUUGUUGUGUGGUCCAGUACGCCCCCCGACUCGCAACCUGAAGAAAGCAGAACUCAAACUCGUCUCUUAGCAAUAUCAGCAAGGCCAGCAUGUCAUCUCAGCUUCUAGAGCUUCAGUGAACUUUACGAGCAAACAUGACUAACGUCAUUGAAGUGAAAGUCGAUGAAAACCCCCCUUCUUGCACAAAUACUACAACUCGCUUAAGAAAUUCAGCACAACGACGUCUUGCGUCAGACUACCAAGCCUCCUAUCAAUAUCUCCUCCCAUGUUGGCUUCAGCAACACUUCCAACAGCAGAGCCUUGGUGAGUUGGACUUCCGUCUCAGCAUCGAUGUCGCUUAGCAACAAUUGGAUGAUGGGCGUCGACAAAUUAGGCCGGACAAGUCGCUCAAACUGAAAUGAUCUGAUCUAACAGAGCCUGUUUCUACAGGAACCUAUGCAAUCAUAGAUCGGUACCUAGCUGAACAACAUGCUCUCUGGUCAGCUGGGCCCAGACGCCCAGGGACACCUCCUGGCCCAGGACCUUUGGACAAAUGUUCAAAUAGUACUACCCACAGGAUGAAGCCACUCUGAAUCCGGGGCUCCAUACUUUCUUGGCCAGGGGACAAGACUACCUCGUCAAUAAGGGACACAUUUCUGGGAUGCGCUUUGAUCUUUUUUAUGUCCCCGACUAUAGUAGUGGGGGACAUAUUCUUUUUGCCCUGUCUGUUGGUCUGUCUGUUGGUCUGUCUGUUUGUGCCAACUUUAACAUUUUGCAAUAACUUUUGCAAUAUUGAAGAUAGCAACUUCAUAUUUGGCAUGCAUGUGAAUCUCAUGAAGCUGCACAUUUUGAGUGGUGAAAGGUCAAGGUCAUCCUUCAAGGUCAGAGGUCAAAUAUAUGUGGCCCAAAUGCUCAUUUUAUUAAUAAUUUUGCAAUAUUGAAGAUAGCAACUUGAUAUUUGGCAUGCAUGUGUAUCUCAUGGAGCUGCACAUUUUCAGUGGUGAAAGGUCAAGGUCAUGGUCAUCCUUCAAGGUCAGAGGUCAAAUAUAUGUGGCCCAAAUCGCUUAUUUUAUGAAUUAUUUUGCAAUAUUGAAGAUAGCAACUUGAUAUUUGGCAUGCAUGUGUAUUUUAUAGAGCUGCACAUUUUGAGUGGUUAAAGGUCAAGGUCAUCCUUCACAAGUUCAAGGUCAUCCUACAAGGUCAAAUGUCAUAUAGGGGGACAUUGUGUUUCACAAACACAUCUUGUUUCUGUUCACAGAGGCCUUAUACUCACAAGUUCAAGCCCAGUGAGCGAUGUUCACCAAAUCCUACUCUACAUCUCAAUAGAAACCCGGAUAGCAAGGCGUUGAGUUUGUUCUUAAAGCAUUUGCACCAGAAGAAGUCAGCAUCUUGAUAUUCUGGAAUCUCCAUGGUGAAGGACCCUCAGUCUGUGAACAAAAUGCAGAGCGAACCUCAGAUGCCUUUUGACGAAAUCAAACCAUCCAAUCAGAAACACAGACUGCAUGUCACAGCAGUUGUUACCAUAUUGACCCUAGUCAAACGUAAGAAGCUCAGAGAUAAAUACUGAUUUAGUUCUGCUUGUCUCUACAUACCUCCUGGUUUGGUCAGCACUUACUCUGACUCUUUGAAUAUUAUGACAGAUAUGGAAAUGAAUGACCUUGUUCAGAUCGAAAUGGCAGAAUGACACAUCACAAGAAUUCAAGCGAAAAGCCAGAAAUCAUAUCAACAGCCACAUUUUGUAUGUCACCCGUCAAGUUGUAUUCAAAGACGAACAAUAGUUUCUGCUCUAUUUUGUAUGUGACCAGUCAAGUUGUACUCAAAGAAAAACAAUAGUUUUCGUUUUAUUUUUUAUGUGACCAACCAAGUUGUUUGUAUAGGUCCCUGGUUUAACAAAGCAUUUAAAGUAUUUUUAAAUUGAUGAAACUUUCACAACAGAUGUUGAUCCUGAUUAUGGUAAAUAAAUGGGAAAUACAAUGUUAUCAAAGAUUUGUUAAGAUUGCCAAAGCUGUUUAAAUGAUGCUGGUAACUUGAACAAAAUUGAAAAAAAUAUUGGAGUGUUUUCAAGCUAUAAGACAUGUUUCAGUUGUCUGUUUUAACCCGUAGAUAUAGAUAAGCUAGCAAAAAAUAUUUGUUCAGAAAGAGGUAAAAUGUUUACGCUUCAGAUUUUUAUCUAUCAACCUUAUGAAAACAAUACUAGUCAAUUGGCUCAUUCGGGUCGGUUUUCGACCAUGAAUCUUGUUUAGUAGCAUACUAUGUAUUUCAUGGGAAUAUAAAUAAAUUCUGGGUGAAAUAAUUUAAUCUACCUUAAAUAAUCGAUUCUGUAUUUACUACUAGUACUUUGUUGAUUUAAAUGGAUAUUGUAUGUUAAAUGAUUAGAGUAUGACUCCUGUUGAAAAGCUUUAAAUGAAACUGUGAAUUAAAAAAUAUAUAUUAUUUUGUUUUAGAGUUUUAUGAAAAAUGGCAAAAGAUUGUUAAGUUGUGUUGUUUGAGUGUUAAAAUUUGUUUUUGGACAUAAUAGUUUAUUAUGCUUUAUGGUUGUAUAUGUACAUGAAGACGACCAGAUUGUAUCCUCUUUAAUCAGUGAGUAAUUUAAUCAAGAUUUUUUGAUCACUGUAUCAAGUGUAUAUGUUGCCAUUUAUACAUAGAGCAACUGUAAAACAAUUGUAUUUUAAAUGUAAAGUAUCCAUGUAUUGUUGCCAUUUUUAUAAGAUAAACUCACUGUUAACAUUUAUUUGUACAAACCAUUGUUUAAAAAACAUUUCUUGUGUCAAUGCUAAAAUAUGUAUUAA
Molecule: long non-coding RNA, 4942 nt
Organism: Dreissena polymorpha
Lineage: Eukaryota; Metazoa; Mollusca; Bivalvia; Myida; Dreissenidae
Exons: 7
Source: RefSeq, a predicted model, not a curated record